UGCAACCCUCGGUAUUGCUCCCGCGCCUCGCUCAGCCAGUGAACUGAGGUACAUGUGCACCUGCUCUCAGCCAUGGCAGCCUCUCCUCACUUUACUGCGCAUCCAGUGGGCCAACCCUGCCGCUUCAGUAAUGAUUUAAUCUGCUGACACGGUUUUCCAUAGUUUACAAGCCCUAUGUGCUUUCUUUGUUGUUAGCACAGUAUUUAAUGCAUAAAGGCAGAAUUAUUGCAAAAUUUUUUAAAA
This is a long non-coding RNA of Galeopterus variegatus (Sunda flying lemur), 243 nucleotides long. RefSeq lists it as uncharacterized. The record is from RefSeq and is a predicted model, not a curated record. NCBI's taxonomy places the organism in Eukaryota, Metazoa, Chordata, Mammalia, Dermoptera, Cynocephalidae. The transcript has 2 exons.